AUACAGAGGGUGCGAGCGUUAAUCGGAAUUACUGGGCGUAAAGCGCGCGUAGGCGGUUAUUUAAGUCAGAUGUGAAAUCCCUGGGCUCAACCUAGGAACUGCAUCUGAAACUGGGUAACUAGAGUUUAGGAGAGGGGAGUAGAAUUUCGGGUGUAGCGGUGAAAUGCAUAGAGAUCCGAAGGAAUACCAGUGGCGAAGGCGACUCCCUGGCCUAGAACUGACGCUGAGGUGCGAAAGCGUGGGUAGCAAACGGGAUUAGAUACCCCAGUAGUCC
RNAcentral lists this ribosomal RNA (274 nucleotides) under uncultured bacterium. RNAcentral describes it as "partial 16S ribosomal RNA". It matches the Rfam family "Bacterial small subunit ribosomal RNA", at positions 523 to 796 of the family's 1533-position model. The record is from RNAcentral.